AGUUACUUACUGCUUUUGUGACGUUGUGAGCUCAUUAUAUAGGGUGAUAUUUUAUUUUGUUAUUCGGUUUUGGCUUCAUUUUUUAAUUAAAUUAAACUUAAUGCAGAGAUGUGCUCGAUUAUUUACAGAUGAAAUUGAAAUAAGGUAUAUUAAUCAGUGCUUAUUCUGCCAAUUUAUAAAUUAGCCAAUGGCUACACAUUGACCAAAUUGGCUAAAUAAAAUUCUAUUUGGGGAUAAAAAGAAAUUCGUAGAAUUUCGCAAAAGGAAGUCAAAUUUGGCUUAAAAAUUUUUUAAGCAUGGGUAGCCUAGUAAAUCUUUGAGCUUGAUUUGUUUUUCAAUGCUAUAUAAAUCAACUAAAACAUGAAAGAUUCAGGUGUUUUCUAUGAAUUAUCUUUUAAGUCCAUUUUGCACAAAUAGUUACCAUAUUUUAUUCAGUUCUGACUUUUUUUUAAAGACGUAUGUACAGAUAUUUUAGACUAAAAAAUUAAUUGUUCAAAAUCUGUAAAAAGAAGAGCACCUUUAAUGUUGUUAUAUUUGACACAAAAAUAAGUAAACCAAACACAAAUAUUAAUAUCAAGAACGGCAUCAGAAAAUGAGACUUGCUCAGGGAAAAUAGGGCCUAAUGCGUGUGUAUAAAAUUAUCGCCCCAGAUUAGACUGUGUGCAGUCUGCAUCGGUUAAUUAGGUAGAAAACUUUUCCCUUAGAUUCGAUUUUUGUGUAAAAUAUAUUUUCUUUACACAAAGUAUUACACAAAAAGGGAAAGUGUUGUCCCUGAUAAGCCUGAACGAAUUUCACAGGAUAUAUGGAUCGACACUUGAUGCACAUGCAUUAAGCCCUGUUUUCCCAAAUUGCCACUCAAAGAUUAAAUGCAAGAAAGGUAUCGCUAUAUAAUGAGCUCCUGGAUAUUGUGGCUGCUUCCUCUAACAUCACGGUGUGGUAGUACAGCCAUAGUCAGGUAAAUAUACCUCCUUGGACACCCAUUGCUAACAAGAUAAGAUAAUCAAGUUAAUUACCAUACAGCCCAUAUAUACCUUACAGGGCGUUUUGGGGACUUAGGCUGAUUUCUAAAUGGGUAUGUAACCUGACUUUUGCUAGAAUAAUGGACAGGGCUGCUCUUGUUCAAUUAUAAAAAAUCAAAUUAUGAGCAGGGCUGUUUAAGUUUGAUCAUCGUGAAUUCAGAAUUACGGACAGGGCUGUUCAUUUUUAUGUCCCCCACUAUAGUAGUGGGGGACAUAUUGUUUUUGCCCUGUCUGUUGGUUGGUCUGUUGGUCUGUUGGUUGGUUUGCGCCAACUUUAACAUUUUGCAAUAACUUUUGCUAUAUUGAAGAUAGCAACUUCAUAUUUGGCAUGCAUGUGUAUCUCAUGAAGCUGCACAUUUUGAGUGGUGAAAGGUCAAGGUCAUCCUUCAAGGUCAGAGGUCAAAUAUAUGUGGCCAACAUCGCUCAUUUUAUGAAUACUUUUGCAAUAUUGAAGAUAGCAACUUGAUAUUUGGCAUGCAUGUGUAUCUCAUGGAGCUGCACAUUUUGAGUGGUGAAAGGUCAAGGUCAUCUUUCAAGGUCAGAGGUCAAAUAUAUGUGGCCCAAAUCGCUUAUUUUAUGAAUACUUUCGCAAUAUUGAAGAUAGCAACUUGAUAUUUGGCAUGCAUGCAUGUCUAAUGGAGCUGAACAUUUUGAGUGGUGAAAGGUCAAGGUCAUCCUUCAAGGUCAAAUAUAUGGAUCAAAAUUGCUAGCAAUGUUAUAUUUGAAAUGCAUGUGUAUCUCAUGGAGCUGCACAUUUUAAGUGGUGAAGGGUCAAGGUUAUCCUUCAAGGUAAAACGUCAUAUAGGGGGACAUUGUGUUUCACAAACACAUCUUGUUAAUUAUCAUUAAUUUAUGGACAGGGCUUUUUCUUUUUAUAUUGGGAAUGUGACCUAUACCCCACGAAAUGUAACAUUUUGAAUUAAUUUACUCCAAAUUGGAAGAAAAAAACACAUUUAUUUUGUUUGAUGCAUUAAUUUUGAACUAUUGGUGAUAAAACUUACAUUCAACUGUAAAUUCCAAACUUAAACAUUUCAGUAAAUUUUAUAUUAGAAUUUAAAACCUAUUUACUAGUAUUAACAGACUAAUCAUCUCUAUUUCUAAAUAUCAAAUAGUCAAACAAUCAGUAAGUUGUUUUGGGACUGGAUUUCGGACAAACUAUCCUUUUUUUCGAUUGUGUAUAUAAUGGCUAUAGAAUUAGCCCAAAAGAGAUAUGGAUAGCUGUAUGUUUUGCUUUGUCAAAAGAUCACAAUCUGAAAUUUAUUUUUUGGGGAAUACAUGAUCUGAAAGCUUCAUCGUUCAAUGAAUAAAUGAACAUUGGGUGUCUAAUAGUAGAAGCUUUUCACGUCUUUUACAAUCAUUUUUUGUCAGCCUAGACAUUAGUUUUUAACCAGGUUUUCCGAAGGAAAAAACUGGUUAUUAGAUUGGCGAAUGCGGGCGGGCUGGCUGGCUGGCGGGCUGGCUGGCUGGCUGGCGGGCUGGCGGAAUAAGCUUGUCCGGGCCAUAACUAUGUCGUUCAUUGUCAGAUUUUAAAAUCAUUUGGCACAUUUGUUCACCAUCAUUGGACGGUGUGUCGCGCGAAAUAAUUACGUCGAUAUCUCCAAGGUCAAGGUCACACUUUGAGUUCAAAGGUCAAAAAUGGCCAUAAAUGAGCUUGUCCGAGCCAUAACUAUGUCGUUCAUCGUCAGAUUUUAAAAUCAUUUGGCACAUUUGUUCACCAUCAUUGGACGGUGUGUCGCGCGAAAUAAUUACGUCGAUAUCUCCAAGGUCAAGGUCGCCACGACUAAAAAUAGAUUUAAAAAAAACAAAAAAACUUACAAAGGGGGUUAAUUU
Long non-coding RNA from Dreissena polymorpha, 2849 nucleotides. RefSeq lists it as uncharacterized. Lineage: Eukaryota; Metazoa; Mollusca; Bivalvia; Myida; Dreissenidae. The transcript has 2 exons. The record is from RefSeq and is a predicted model, not a curated record.